AUUCCGGUUGAUCCUGCCGGAGGCCAUUGCUAUCGGAGUCCGAUUUAGCCAUGCUAGUCACACGGGUUUAGACCCGUGGCGAAUAGCUCCGUAACACGUGGCCAAUCUACCCUACGGACCGGUAUAACCUCGGGAAACUGAGGCUAAUCCCGGAUACUGCUCCUACGCUGGAACGCCGGGAGCUGGAAACGUUCCGACGCCGUAGGAUGAGGCUGCGGCCGAUUAGGUAGACGGUGGGGUAACGGCCCACCGUGCCGAUAAUCGGUACGGGUUGUGAGAGCAAGAACCCGGAGACGGAAUCUGAGACAAGAUUCCGGGCCCUACGGGGCGCAGCAGGCGCGAAACCUUUACA
RNAcentral lists this non-coding RNA (352 nucleotides) under Halobaculum gomorrense. Its description in RNAcentral is "Archaeal small subunit ribosomal RNA". It matches the Rfam family "Archaeal small subunit ribosomal RNA", at positions 1 to 354 of the family's 1478-position model. Lineage: Archaea; Methanobacteriati; Methanobacteriota; Halobacteria; Halobacteriales; Haloferacaceae. The record is from Rfam by way of RNAcentral.